UAUGCAGACGACGGGUCCGGUGCCCGUCAACGCCAGCGACGGCGUCAGGGGAGGAAGCCCGGUGAGAAUCCGGCGCGGUCCCGCCACUGUGAGCCCGGCAGCAGCCGGGUGAGCCAGGAACUCCCGCCGUCCUCCCUACCGCCCG
RNAcentral lists this non-coding RNA (145 nucleotides) under Streptomyces sp. Lineage: Bacteria; Bacillati; Actinomycetota; Actinomycetes; Kitasatosporales; Streptomycetaceae. The record is from RNAcentral.